RNAcentral lists this ribosomal RNA (1680 nucleotides) under Triticum aestivum (bread wheat). RNAcentral describes it as "partial small subunit ribosomal RNA". Lineage: Eukaryota; Viridiplantae; Streptophyta; Magnoliopsida; Poales; Poaceae. The record is from RNAcentral.
AUGAGCGGUUUCCUCGCUGUGGCCGGCAAGAUUGUCACGCUCCUGCUGUGGGUGCUCUUUCUGAUCCUGCAGACAGCCACCAAGGUUGUCGGGGGCCUCCUGCAGGUUGCACCGCCAGCCGAGCCACAAGAAGAGCCGCAACCAGAAGCAGCACCACGACCCAGAUCGCCGCCGGCUGCGAGGAACAGCGCCGGCGGCGGCCCCGCGGACCCAUACGAUCCGCGGUCACAGCCGUGGGACCCACCACCGCCCCCCCACACCGCUCCGGUGACGGAUGAGUAUCACUCGUCCUCGAUCUACCGGCGGCGGGUGAGCGCCCCGCAGGCUGCUGAGGAUUUGGUGGUUUCCUCCAGCAGUUACUCUCGUUCGGCCGUGGCAGCAGUGCCAGCCUCUCCGGCUCAUGCCGUCCCAGCGCCACCAGUGUCGCGGACAAUUAAGACACCGGCAGUUGCCAGUAAGCGGCCCAAGCUGGAGAGGAAGUACUCCAAGAUCGUGGACCAGUACCGCUCCUUGGAUGAGGUUAUUGAAGCAUUAGCGCAAGCUGGCCUCGAAUCUUCCAAUUUAAUCAUUGGAAUUGAUUUCACGAAAAGUAAUGAAUGGACAGGAAAGAGGUCAUUCAGUGGUGUGAGCCUGCAUCAUAUUGGUGAUGCCCCCAAUCCUUACGAGCAGGCAAUCUCCAUCAUUGGACAAACACUGUCAGCUUUUGAUGAGGAUAACUUAAUUCCGUGCUAUGGUUUUGGAGAUGCAUCUACACAUGACCAAGAUGUAUUUGCCUUCAAUCCUGACGAAAGACCAUGCUAUGGGUUUCAGGAGGCUUUGGCUCGAUAUAGACAAAUCGUUCCUCAUCUUCGUCUUUCCGGUCCUACAUCAUUUUCUCCAAUAAUUGAAAUGGCCACAACCAUUGUUGAGCAAAGCGGUGGCCAAUACCAUGUUUUAGUAAUAAUCGCCGAUGGACAAGUCACACGAAGUGUUAACACUAAAUUUGGUCAAUUAAGUACCCAAGAGCAGAUGACUGUAGAUGCUAUUGUGCAAGCCAGUGAAUUUCCUUUGUCUAUAAUUCUGGUCGGAGUUGGAGAUGGUCCUUGGGACAUGAUGAAUGAAUUUGAUGACAACAUUCCUGCUAGAUCUUUUGACAAUUUCCAGUUUGUCAACUUCACUGGAAUCAUGUCAAAAAAGAUCAGUCAAAGCAUCAAGGAGACAGAGUUUGCCCUUUCAGCACUCAUGGAAAUACCUUUGCAGUACAAAGCAACAUUACAGCUUGGAAUACUGGGGCGUCGACUUGCAAAGUCUCCAGAGCGAGUUCCACUUCCUCCUCCUUUUGCAAGUUAUAAUACCACCUCAAGAGCAGCACCAUCUUGGGAAAAUAACUUCCGAAGUGUGCCUUCUAAUCUUAGGGAGGAGGCAACUUUAGAUUCAACAAUCACACCGUCAGUUACACCCCCACCAGCUGCAGAUGCUAGAGCAUCAGAACUCCAAGUUCUGCCUCCGAGGAGUACCGUGAUUACCCUAACGAAGAACCGUAUCCGUGCAUCGAACCAUCAGUUCUGCCCAGUUUGCCUUGCCAAACCCCGGGACAUGGCAUUUGGUUGUGGUCAUCAGACUUGUUCAGGGUGUGGACCGCAGGUCGCGGAUUGCCCCAUCUGUCGAAGGCCAAUUGAUACAAGAGUAAAACUAUACUAA